UACGGAGGGUGCAAGCGUUAUCCGGAUUUAUUGGGUUUAAAGGGUGCGUAGGCGGCGUAGUAAGUCCGUGGUGAAAGCCCACAGCUCAACUGUGGAACUGCCAUGGAUACUGCUAGGCUUGAGUACAGACGAGGUAGGCGGAAUGGAUAGUGUAGCGGUGAAAUGCAUAGAUACUAUCCAGAACACCGAUUGCGAAGGCAGCUUACUAGACUGUAACUGACGCUGAGGCACGAAAGCGUGGGGAGCGAACAGG
This 253-nucleotide ribosomal RNA is filed under the name uncultured bacterium. Its description in RNAcentral is "partial 16S ribosomal RNA". It matches the Rfam family "Bacterial small subunit ribosomal RNA", at positions 524 to 776 of the family's 1533-position model. The record is from RNAcentral.